GUCCACGCAGUAAACGAUGAUUACUAGCUGUUUGCGAUACACAGUAAGCGGCACAGCGAAAGCGUUAAGUAAUCCACCUGGGGAGUACGCCGGCAACGGUGAAACUCAAAGGAAUUGACGGGGGCCCCGCACAAGCGGAGGAACAUGUGGUUUAAUUCGAUGAUACGCGAGGAACCUUACCCGGGUUUGAACGUAGGGAGACAGGAGUGGAAACAUUCUUUUCAGCAAUGACUGCCUACGAGGUGCUGCAUGGUUGUCGU
This 260-nucleotide ribosomal RNA is filed under the name uncultured bacterium. RNAcentral's name for it is "partial 16S ribosomal RNA". It matches the Rfam family "Bacterial small subunit ribosomal RNA", at positions 793 to 1055 of the family's 1533-position model. The record is from RNAcentral.